UACAUAGGAGGCAAGCGUUGUCCGGAAUCAUUGGGCGUAAAGCGCGCGUAGGCAGCCCGGUAAGUCCGCUGUGAAAGUCAAAAGCUCAACCCUCGGAUGCCGGUAAAUACUGUCGAGCUUGAGUGCGGAAGAGGCGAGUGGAAUUCCUGGUGUAGCGGUGAAAUGCGCAGAUAUCAGGAGGAACACCAAUUGCGAAGGCAGCUCGCUGGGACGUUACUGACGCUGAUGCGCGAAAGCGUGGGGAGCAAACAGG
This 253-nucleotide ribosomal RNA is filed under the name uncultured bacterium. Its description in RNAcentral is "partial 16S ribosomal RNA". It matches the Rfam family "Bacterial small subunit ribosomal RNA", at positions 524 to 776 of the family's 1533-position model. The record is from RNAcentral.